GUUAGAUAAUAUAAAGUCCCACAACAAUACUGCAGAAGAAAGACCUCUCUUUUAUUCCACCAUCUUCUCCAUUAGGAUCAAUGGCUGUGAUAUACACUCUUUCAGCACCUAUUCUACUCUCCAAAUCAUCUUUUACUAAAAGGACAAUGGUGUAAGCAAGUAGUCACAAUAUCUCAAUCAAUACCUCCACAAUUACAACAACUACUACUGCUAUUACUAUUACUACUACUAGUCCUCUUCAGAUCAUAUCAACUUCCAAUAACAAGCUUGGGGUAUUUGAGGAUAAGUCGACGGGUGUAGUUUGUUAUAGGGAUGAGAACGGAGAGAUCACAUGCGAAGGAUAUGAUCAUGAGGGCCCUCGUUUCUGCCACCAACAGCCAAACUCUUGUUGUAAAUCAAGGUAUGUAACAAUAUUAGUCUAAUGACUAGUAUUGAUGAAUAUAAGAAUUCAUUUAGCGACUCACCAUAACAUGCGUUGAAGGGAGCCUUGGAGCAACGAUAAAGUUGUCUCUGUAUGACCUAUUUAUAUUGGUCAAAAUCUGACUGCUGUGGUCGACCCAAUCGGGACCACGUCCAAACAGCGGGAUAAGAAAAGACGCCAUGACUUACUCCAAACACGUAUUCACAGAACGACGAAAACGGACGCGGUAUGAAGGGGCUAUGGCCCGAAAACAAAGCGAGUACUCCAUGACUAUAUAUACAGGGAGGGGAUCUUCCUAGAAAGGGGAGCUUCUCUCUCUUCCCUCUCCUCUGUAAUCUCCUUAGUAAAAAGAAAGCAAAACAAUCUUCCAUUGAUUAUGUACAACAGUCAUCUCCACCGAUUGGUGAAAGAAGAAAUGAAAGACUUCAACAA
This is a long non-coding RNA of Nicotiana tabacum (common tobacco), 853 nucleotides long. RefSeq lists it as uncharacterized. The record is from RefSeq and is a predicted model, not a curated record. Lineage: Eukaryota; Viridiplantae; Streptophyta; Magnoliopsida; Solanales; Solanaceae.